This 633-nucleotide ribosomal RNA is filed under the name Aphelenchus cf. avenae TSH-2005. RNAcentral's name for it is "SSU rRNA". It matches the Rfam family "Eukaryotic small subunit ribosomal RNA", at positions 1003 to 1664 of the family's 1831-position model. The record is from RNAcentral. Lineage: Eukaryota; Metazoa; Nematoda; Chromadorea; Rhabditida; Aphelenchidae.
GGCGAUCAGAUACCGCCCUAGUUCUGACCGUAAACGAUGCCAACUAGCGAUCCGCCGGCGGAUAUUUCGCCCUGGUGGGGAGCUUCCCGGAAACGAAAGUCUUCCGGUUCCGGGGGAAGUAUGGUUGCAAAGCUGAAACUUAAAGGAAUUGACGGAAGGGCACCACCAGGAGUGGAGCCUGCGGCUUAAUUUGACUCAACACGGGGAAACUCACCCGGCCCGGACACCGUGAGGAUUGACAGAUUGAAAGCUCUUUCUUGAUUCGGUGGUUGGUGGUGCAUGGCCGUUCUUAGUUCGUGGAGCGAUUUGUCUGGUUUAUUCCGAUAACGAGCGAGACUCUAGCUUACUAAAUAGUCUGGUCUUUAUUACUGAGGCCUGACUUCUUAGAGGGAUUUUCGGUGUUCAGCCGCACGAGAUUGAGCAAUAACAGGUCUGUGAUGCCCUUAGAUGUCCGGGGCUGCACGCGCGCUACACUGGCGAAAUCAGCGUGCUUUUCCUAUCUCGAAAGAGAUUGGUAAACCGAUGAAAAUUUGCCGUGAUUGGGAUCGGAAAUUGCAAUUAUUUUCCGUGAACGAGGAAUUCCAAGUAAGUGCGAGUCAUCAACUCGCGUUGAUUACGUCCCUGCCCUUUGUA